CAUAGGUUAAUGAGGCGAACCGGGGGAACUGAAACAUCUAAGUACCCCGAGGAAAAGAAAUCAACCGAGAUUCCCCCAGUAGCGGCGAGCGAACGGGGAGGAGCCCAGAGCCUGAAUCAGUGUGUGUGUUAGUGGAAGCGUCUGGAAAGGCGCGCGAUACAGGGUGACAGCCCCGUACACAAAAAUGCACAUGCUGUGAGCUCGAUGAGUAGGGCGGGACACGUGGUAUCCUGUCUGAAUAUGGGGGGACCAUCCUCCAAGGCUAAAUACUCCUGACUGACCGAUAGUGAACCAGUACCGUGAGGGAAAGGCGAAAAGAACCCCGGCGAGGGGAGUGAAAAAGAACCUGAAACCGUGUACGUACAAGCAGUGGGAGCACAGAGCAAUCUGUGUGACUGCGUACCUUUUGUAUAAUGGGUCAGCGACUUAUAUUCUGUAGCAAGGUUAACCGAAUAGGGGAGCCGAAGGGAAACCGAGUCUUAACUGGGCGUUAAGUUGCAGGGUAUAGACCCGAAACCCGGUGAUCUAGCCAUGGGCAGGUUGAAGGUUGGGUAACACUAACUGGAGGACCGAACCGACUAAUGUUGAAAAAUUAGCGGAUGACUUGUGGCUGGGGGUGAAAGGCCAAUCAAACCGGGAGAUAGCUGGUUCUCCCCGAAAGCUAUUUAGGUAGCGCCUCGUGAAUUCAUCUCCGGGGGUAGAGCACUGUUUCGGCAAGGGGGUCAUCCCGACUUACCAACCCGAUGCAAACUGCGAAUACCGGAGAAUGUUAUCACGGGAGACACACGGCGGGUGCUAACGUCCGUCGUGAAGAGGGAAACAACCCAGACCGCCAGCUAAGGUCCCAAAGUCAUGGUUAAGUGGGAAACGAUGUGGGAAGGCCCAGACAGCCAGGAUGUUGGCUUAGAAGCAGCCAUCAUUUAAAGAAAGCGUAAUAGCUCACUGGUCGAGUCGGCCUGCGCGGAAGAUGUAACGGGGCUAAACCAUGCACCGAAGCUGCGGCAGCGACACUAUGUGUUGUUGGGUAGGGGAGCGUUCUGUAAGCCUGUGAAGGUGUGCUGUGAGGCAUGCUGGAGGUAUCAGAAGUGCGAAUGCUGACAUAAGUAACGAUAAAGCGGGUGAAAAGCCCGCUCGCCGGAAGACCAAGGGUUCCUGUCCAACGUUAAUCGGGGCAGGGUGAGUCGACCCCUAAGGCGAGGCCGAAAGGCGUAGUCGAUGGGAAACAGGUUAAUAUUCCUGUACUUGGUGUUACUGCGAAGGGGGGACGGAGAAGGCUAUGUUGGCCGGGCGACGGUUGUCCCGGUUUAAGCGUGUAGGCUGGUUUUCCAGGCAAAUCCGGAAAAUCAAGGCUGAGGCGUGAUGACGAGGCACUACGGUGCUGAAGCAACAAAUGCCCUGCUUCCAGGAAAAGCCUCUAAGCAUCAGGUAACAUCAAAUCGUACCCCAAACCGACACAGGUGGUCAGGUAGAGAAUACCAAGGCGCUUGAGAGAACUCGGGUGAAGGAACUAGGCAAAAUGGUGCCGUAACUUCGGGAGAAGGCACGCUGAUAUGUAGGUGAAGCGACUUGCUCGUGGAGCUGAAAUCAGUCGAAGAUACCAGCUGGCUGCAACUGUUUAUUAAAAACACAGCACUGUGCAAACACGAAAGUGGACGUAUACGGUGUGACGCCUGCCCGGUGCCGGAAGGUUAAUUGAUGGGGUCAGCGCAAGCGAAGCUCUUGAUCGAAGCCCCGGUAAACGGCGGCCGUAACUAUAACGGUCCUAAGGUAGCGAAAUUCCUUGUCGGGUAAGUUCCGACCUGCACGAAUGGCGUAAUGAUGGCCAGGCUGUCUCCACCCGAGACUCAGUGAAAUUGAACUCGCUGUGAAGAUGCAGUGUACCCGCGGCAAGACGGAAAGACCCCGUGAACCUUUACUAUAGCUUGACACUGAACAUUGAGCCUUGAUG
Molecule: ribosomal RNA, 1948 nt
Filed under: Escherichia coli
Lineage: Bacteria; Pseudomonadati; Pseudomonadota; Gammaproteobacteria; Enterobacterales; Enterobacteriaceae
Description: partial 23S ribosomal RNA
Rfam family: Bacterial large subunit ribosomal RNA
Source: RNAcentral